GGCCCUGUCCCACUUUGGAAACAGGAACCUGGAAACAUUUCCAGGAACAGUGUCUCCUCCUGGAAACAUUUCCAGGACAGUGUCCUGGAAAUGUUUCCAGGAGGAAGUUGAGGUACAGCAUAAAAUUUCAGCAUAUCCAGAUAAUUUGCCCUAGUCACUGUCACCUCAGUGAAGAAGAAAGCUCUAUUACUUAUAAGGCCUAUUACUUCAUUAACAUGCACUUCAUAUUCACUUUUGGCAAAUCUUGUUCCAGUUCACAAACCAUAUGUGGCUUUUUACCGCCCUAUAUGCAUUAAUUGUAUUCUGUUCAUUUUUCCACUUAUGUAAAAUGUUUCAUCAGAAAAGCACACUGCAUCCAGGAAAGAAUCAUACUCUUCAAUUCUGUCUAAUAUUUUCUUCUGCAAAGGAUUUUUGUUUAUGUUUGUCCUAAGAAUAAUUUGUUGGUGCAUCUGAAUGUUAUAGGCAUGUAGAUAUAAAUGUUUGUAGACAACAUCAUGGACAUGGAUCAAGAAAUGCCAAGUUCCAAACUCAUGCUCCAAAUAGACUUCUUGGGCUUCUUAUGAAUGUCAUACUAAUCCUUUCCACAUCUUCUGACACCUGCUUUGGAUAUUUUCCAAGUGUGGACAACAAGACUGCCCAUUUCUUGAAAUUGUUUUUUCCAUUUAACAAUGCUCACAUAUGUGGGAAUAUUACUGUGAUGUCCAAGAUUAAACUCAUACAGAAAUAUACAUUGCACAAGCUAUACAGAUUUUAUUUCCAUCAAUGAAAGAACAGAAAACUUUCUGCUAAAGACUCUAGACCCACAUCUUUGCUCACUCUGCAUAUGCACACUAUACCACUGCCAUGAUGUGAUGUUUUUCAUAAAUGGCCACAGAUAUUGUCGUCAUAUAUUUGCCCAAACUUCUUUUCUGACUCAAAUACAACAAAUGCUAUAAAUGUUUCUUUUCUUAUAGAUAUAAGCUAGACAUCCUGCAUAUUUUAUAUAUAUAGCCAGUCCUUUGAACCUCUAUAUAUUGAAUUGAGUAGUACUG
Molecule: long non-coding RNA, 1031 nt
Filed under: Androctonus crassicauda
Lineage: Eukaryota; Metazoa; Arthropoda; Arachnida; Scorpiones; Buthidae
Source: RNAcentral